GCGCCGCGUUGGGCAGUUGGAGCACGGCGAGGCUCAGGCUCUCGCGGUCAAGAGCGCCGCGCAGGACGAGGGCGUCCGAUCCGCCGCCGGUGCC
RNAcentral lists this transfer RNA (94 nucleotides) under Streptomyces flavofungini. Its description in RNAcentral is "tRNA-Leu". The record is from RNAcentral. Lineage: Bacteria; Bacillati; Actinomycetota; Actinomycetes; Kitasatosporales; Streptomycetaceae.